This 73-nucleotide transfer RNA is filed under the name Neotoma lepida (desert woodrat). It matches the Rfam family "tRNA". Rfam says of the family: Transfer RNA (tRNA) molecules are approximately 80 nucleotides in length. The record is from Rfam by way of RNAcentral. Lineage: Eukaryota; Metazoa; Chordata; Mammalia; Rodentia; Cricetidae.
AGAGAUGUGGCUCAGCUGAUAGAGUGCUUGCCUGGCAUGUAAGAAGCCCCGGGUUUGAUUCCUAGCACUGCUG